Long non-coding RNA from Daphnia carinata, 443 nucleotides. RefSeq lists it as uncharacterized. The transcript has 5 exons. The record is from RefSeq and is a predicted model, not a curated record. NCBI's taxonomy places the organism in Eukaryota, Metazoa, Arthropoda, Branchiopoda, Diplostraca, Daphniidae.
GGCUGCUAUUGGAGUAGAUAAUGCUGGUCAUUUGCAGAAUAUCACACUGAGAAGGGGUUCUCCUAUGGAAGGAGUAUCGUGUUUUAAUACACGCUGACAAGAAUCACAAACACAUUGACUGAAAACUAUCAUCAAUUUCAAGAAUUGAAGUAACAGGUUAUUAAUGUGACUUAAAGUACAUGACUACAUGAUGAAUACCAGCAGAGAUGAAAGCUAAGAGUAGCAACGAACAUAUGUUUGAAAGAUGGUCCAAGUAAUCACUACAGCACCUACUCACACAAGGACUUGAAGCAAUAAACAUCAAGAAAUGAGGCGGAGACAAUUUUAGGAGUGAGUGAUGACUGUGAAGAAACUAUUAAGAUAGUUCUACGGAUGUGUAAAGAAUGGUGGUUGCAGGGCAGGAGGGUACAACCUAUCAUUUAUCUAGAUCUACUGAUUGAGGA